Molecule: ribosomal RNA, 436 nt
Filed under: uncultured Pseudoflavonifractor sp.
Lineage: Bacteria; Bacillati; Bacillota; Clostridia; Eubacteriales; Oscillospiraceae
Description: bacterial SSU rRNA
Rfam family: Bacterial small subunit ribosomal RNA
Source: RNAcentral
ACGGAAGGCAGCAGUGGGGAAUAUUGGGCAAUGGGCGCAAGCCUGACCCAGCAACGCCGCGUGAAGGAAGAAGGCUUUCGGGUUGUAAACUUCUUUUAUCAGGGACGAAGGAAUGACGGUACCUGAUGAAUAAGCCACGGCUAACUACGUGCCAGCAGCCGCGGUAAUACGUAGGUGGGAAGCGUUAUCCGGAUUUACUGGGUGUAAAGGGCGUGUAGGCGGGAGUGCAAGUCAGGCGUGAAAACUAUGGGCUCAACCCAUAGCCUGCGUUUGAAACUGUACUUCUUGAGUACUGGAGAGGCAGGCGGAAUUCCGUGUGUAGCGGUGAAAUGCGUAGAUAUACGGAGGAACACCAGUGGCGAAGGCGGCUUGCUGGACAGCAACUGACGCUAAGGCGCGAAAGCGUGGGGAGCAAACAGGAGUAGAUACCCUGGUA